RNAcentral lists this ribosomal RNA (253 nucleotides) under uncultured bacterium. Its description in RNAcentral is "partial 16S ribosomal RNA". It matches the Rfam family "Bacterial small subunit ribosomal RNA", at positions 524 to 776 of the family's 1533-position model. The record is from RNAcentral.
UACGGGGGGGGCAAGCGUUGUUCGGAAUUACUGGGCGUAAAGGGCUCGUAGGCGGCCAACUAAGUCGGAUGUGAAAUCCCCAGGCUUAACCUGGGAACUGCAUCCGAUACUGGAUGGCUUGAAUCCGGGAGAGGGAUGCAGAAUUCCAGGUGUAGCGGUGAAAUGCGUAGAUAUCUGGAGGAAUACCGGUGGCGAAGGCGGUAUCCUGGACCGGCAUUGACGCUGAUGAGCGAAAGCUAGGGGAGCAAACGGG